GAUGAACGCUGGCGGCGUGCCUAAUACAUGCAAGUCGAGCGAACAGACGAGGAGCUUGCUCCUCUGACGUUAGCGGCGGACGGGUGAGUAACACGUGGAUAACCUACCUAUAAGACUGGGAUAACUUCGGGAAACCGGAGCUAAUACCGGAUAAUAUAUUGAACCGCAGGGUGCAAUAGUGAAAGACGGUUUUGCUGUCACUUAUAGAUGGAUCCGCGCCGCAUUAGCUAGUUGGUAAGGUAACGGCUUACCAAGGCAACGAUGCGUAGCCGACCUGAGAGGGUGAUCGGCCACACUGGAACGGGGACACGGUCCAGACUCCUACGGGAGGCAGCAGUAGGGAAUCUUCCGCAAUGGGCGAAAGCCUGACGGAGCAACGCCGCGUGAGUGAUGAAGGUCUUCGGAGCGUAAAACUCUGUUAUUAGGGAAGAACAAAUGUGUAAGUAACUAUGCACGUCUUGACGGUACCUAAUCAGAAAGCCACGGCUAACUACGUG
RNAcentral lists this ribosomal RNA (497 nucleotides) under uncultured bacterium. RNAcentral's name for it is "partial 16S ribosomal RNA". It matches the Rfam family "Bacterial small subunit ribosomal RNA", at positions 28 to 507 of the family's 1533-position model. The record is from RNAcentral.